RNAcentral lists this ribosomal RNA (949 nucleotides) under Aquimarina sp. B915. Its description in RNAcentral is "bacterial SSU rRNA". It matches the Rfam family "Bacterial small subunit ribosomal RNA", at positions 349 to 1302 of the family's 1533-position model. Lineage: Bacteria; Pseudomonadati; Bacteroidota; Flavobacteriia; Flavobacteriales; Flavobacteriaceae. The record is from RNAcentral.
CAGCAGUGAGGAAUAUUGGACAAUGGAGGCAACUCUGAUCCAGCCAUGCCGCGUGUAGGAAGACUGCCCUAUGGGUUGUAAACUACUUUUAUAGAGGAAGAAACCGCGAUAUGUAUAUCGCUCUGACGGUACUCUACGAAUAAGGAUCGGCUAACUCCGUGCCAGCAGCCGCGGUAAUACGGAGGAUCCAAGCGUUAUCCGGAAUCAUUGGGUUUAAAGGGUCCGUAGGCGGGUUUGUAAGUCAGUGGUGAAAGUUUUCGGCUCAACCGGAAAAUUGCCAUUGAUACUGCAAGUCUUGAAUCAUUAUGAAGUGGUUAGAAUGUGUAGUGUAGCGGUGAAAUGCAUAGAUAUUACACAGAAUACCGAUUGCGAAGGCAGAUCACUAAUAAUGUAUUGACGCUAAGGGACGAAAGCGUGGGUAGCGAACAGGAUUAGAUACCCUGGUAGUCCACGCCGUAAACGAUGGUUACUAGCUGUUCGGACUUCGGUCUGAGUGGCUAAGCGAAAGUGAUAAGUAACCCACCUGGGGAGUACGUUCGCAAGAAUGAAACUCAAAGGAAUUGACGGGGGCCCGCACAAGCGGUGGAGCAUGUGGUUUAAUUCGAUGAUACGCGAGGAACCUUACCAGGGCUUAAAUGUAGAUUGACAGGUUUAGAGAUAGACUUUCCUUCGGGCAAUUUACAAGGUGCUGCAUGGUUGUCGUCAGCUCGUGCCGUGAGGUGUCAGGUUAAGUCCUAUAACGAGCGCAACCCCUGUUGUUAGUUGCCAGCGAGUCAUGUCGGGAACUCUAGCAAGACUGCCGGUGCAAACCGCGAGGAAGGUGGGGAUGACGUCAAAUCAUCACGGCCCUUACGUCCUGGGCCACACACGUGCUACAAUGGUAGGUACAGAGAGCAGCCACUGGGUGACCAGGAGCGAAUCUAUAAAGCCUAUCACAGUUCGGAUCGGA